This 1054-nucleotide ribosomal RNA is filed under the name Staphylococcus aureus. RNAcentral's name for it is "bacterial SSU rRNA". It matches the Rfam family "Bacterial small subunit ribosomal RNA", at positions 1 to 1034 of the family's 1533-position model. The record is from RNAcentral. Lineage: Bacteria; Bacillati; Bacillota; Bacilli; Caryophanales; Staphylococcaceae.
UUUAUGGAGAGUUUGAUCCUGGCUCAGGAUGAACGCUGGCGGCGUGCCUAAUACAUGCAAGUCGAGCGAACGGACGAGAAGCUUGCUUCUCUGAUGUUAGCGGCGGACGGGUGAGUAACACGUGGAUAACCUACCUAUAAGACUGGGAUAACUUCGGGAAACCGGAGCUAAUACCGGAUAAUAUUUUGAACCGCAUGGUUCAAAAGUGAAAGACGGUCUUGCUGUCACUUAUAGAUGGAUCCGCGCUGCAUUAGCUAGUUGGUAAGGUAACGGCUUACCAAGGCAACGAUGCAUAGCCGACCUGAGAGGGUGAUCGGCCACACUGGAACUGAGACACGGUCCAGACUCCUACGGGAGGCAGCAGUAGGGAAUCUUCCGCAAUGGGCGAAAGCCUGACGGAGCAACGCCGCGUGAGUGAUGAAGGUCUUCGGAUCGUAAAACUCUGUUAUUAGGGAAGAACAUAUGUGUAAGUAACUGUGCACAUCUUGACGGUACCUAAUCAGAAAGCCACGGCUAACUACGUGCCAGCAGCCGCGGUAAUACGUAGGUGGCAAGCGUUAUCCGGAAUUAUUGGGCGUAAAGCGCGCGUAGGCGGUUUUUUAAGUCUGAUGUGAAAGCCCACGGCUCAACCGUGGAGGGUCAUUGGAAACUGGAAAACUUGAGUGCAGAAGAGGAAAGUGGAAUUCCAUGUGUAGCGGUGAAAUGCGCAGAGAUAUGGAGGAACACCAGUGGCGAAGGCGACUUUCUGGUCUGUAACUGACGCUGAUGUGCGAAAGCGUGGGGAUCAAACAGGAUUAGAUACCCUGGUAGUCCACGCCGUAAACGAUGAGUGCUAAGUGUUAGGGGGUUUCCGCCCCUUAGUGCUGCAGCUAACGCAUUAAGCACUCCGCCUGGGGAGUACGACCGCAAGGUUGAAACUCAAAGGAAUUGACGGGGACCCGCACAAGCGGUGGAGCAUGUGGUUUAAUUCGAAGCAACGCGAAGAACCUUACCAAAUCUUGACAUCCUUUGACAACUCUAGAGAUAGAGCCUUCCCCUUCGGGGGACAAAGUGA